AUUCUGCCCAUGCGGGGAAGGAUGAGAAGCUUCAACCAAGGUGCGACUCGAGCGCCAGCGAGAAAGCGUUGCCGCAGGCAACGACCCGAAGGGUGAAGCGCGCAGCGCUGAGUAAUCCUUCCCCCACCACCA
Molecule: small RNA, 132 nt
Filed under: Escherichia coli
Lineage: Bacteria; Pseudomonadati; Pseudomonadota; Gammaproteobacteria; Enterobacterales; Enterobacteriaceae
Description: RtT sRNA
Rfam family: RtT RNA
About the family: This family represents a bacterial cis-regulatory element known as RtT RNA. The exact function of RtT is unknown although it is thought that it may be involved in changing the cellular response in relation to amino acid starvation.
Source: RNAcentral